Molecule: long non-coding RNA, 503 nt
Organism: Cyprinus carpio (common carp)
Lineage: Eukaryota; Metazoa; Chordata; Actinopteri; Cypriniformes; Cyprinidae
Source: Ensembl
ACAGUGAAUACAUUUAUUAGUAGUAGGAAGGGAAUUACAAUAACUAAAAUUAAUGUUUAGUUCAACAUGUGCUUAUUUUCUCCAUCUUUACAUAUUCAGCAAUUACAUUUACAUUUAGUAAAUUAAUUGUGGAUAUUUUUAAAGUCAUUUUUAAAGUCAUAACAGGCUUUUAAAGAGGUUUGCAAACACCUGGGUGAAUAAUAACGUGGUUUUCAGGAGAAACACGAGUUGAGAAAUUAAGUUAAGUAUUAUAUCUAGGAGAAGGCUGCAGAUUGCGCAUGCGCGGUUCGCGUCCGUUAGAAAACGCAGCAGAUUGCGCAUGCGCGGUUCGCGUCCGUUCCCCUUCACUCUGUCCUUUCGCGCUGCACAGAAACCCCGUCCGGAACAUCGACACGACAAACACGAUCAUGUCUGAGAAAGGACAGAAGCAGAAAGGAAGCAGUGAGAGCUGCCAUCACUGCAAGCCAAAGACAUGCGCAGACUCUGCUGUAGCUGCAGUGUGA